UUAAUUGAAGAGUUUGAUCAUGGCUCAGAUUGAACGCUGGCGGCAGGCCUAACACAUGCAAGUCGAGCGGCAGCACAGAGGAACUUGUUCCUUGGGUGGCGAGCGGCGGACGGGUGAGUAAUGCCUGGGAAAUUGCCCGGUAGAGGGGGGAUAACCAUUGGAAACGAUGGCUAAUACCGCAUAACCUCGCAAGAGCAAAGCAGGGGACCUUCGGGCCUUGCGCUACCGGAUAUGCCCAGGUGGGAUUAGCUAGUU
RNAcentral lists this ribosomal RNA (255 nucleotides) under Vibrio cholerae. RNAcentral's name for it is "partial 16S ribosomal RNA". It matches the Rfam family "Bacterial small subunit ribosomal RNA", at positions 1 to 250 of the family's 1533-position model. Lineage: Bacteria; Pseudomonadati; Pseudomonadota; Gammaproteobacteria; Vibrionales; Vibrionaceae. The record is from RNAcentral.